GGACAGAAGAGGAGAAGAUACAUAGAGAGACACACAGAGGAGAAGGCCUGUGAAGAUGGAAGCAGAGACUGGAGCGAUGGAGCCAAAGCCAAGGAAGCCAAGGGUUGUGGACACCCCCAGAAGCUGGAAGAGGCAGGAAGGACACUCCCCUGGAGCCUUCGGAGGGAGCACGGGCCUCUGACACCUGGAUUUUGGACUGCUGCCCUCCAGAACUGUAGAGAAGACCUUUCUGUUGUUUGAAGCCACCAAGUUUGUGGUAAUUUGUUCUGGCAACCCUGGGAAACUAACACAGUGGGCAUUACGCAAAAAGCCAGGGAGGAUGCUAAGCCGGUGAGGGAAGGAUCCACUUGGUGUCCUCUGCCCCUCCCCCACUCCUGGGGGAGUCUGGUUAAGACCCUGCCAGCAGCUCGCCCAGACAUCACAGUUGGCAAGGUGGCGAGUGAGGGUGACGGGAGGACGGACUUUUGGGGUGUUAACUUUGUCUCCCCCACUCAAGUGUGGGGCCCCUCCUGUGCACUUCAGACUCUCUUGACCUCAUCUCUGAUCCCAGCCUCAGUGGUGGCCAGGGCGGGUGGGCUCCACCCAGCUGCAGGCAGCAGGAGACCUGACAGCAUCUCACCCCAGGGUUCUCUAUCAACGCUGGACUCAGGAGGUGGCAGGAAGCCUCCCGGUGUCCACACGUGCACUAUCCGGAAAGCUAAAGCCAGCGAAUGAUGACAUAUUAAAGAAUAUCCUGAAGAAAACGUUUUGACAAGCAGUCUUCAAGUACAGUGACUUCGAAAGGAAGAGAUUGAAGCCCUGACGCCCCAUGUGAUUGUAUUAGGAGACGGAGCCUUUGGAAGGUAAUUGGGUUUAGGUGAGGUCCUGAAGGGGGGGUCCCCAGUAUGGGAUUAGUGCCAUUAUAAGGAGAUGAAGAGACAAGAGCUCGCUUUCUCCACAAAAUGAGGACACAGCAAGAAGGCAGCCAUCUGCAA
This 974-nucleotide long non-coding RNA is filed under the name Equus caballus (horse). RNAcentral describes it as "lncRNA (ENSECAG00000058107.1)". Lineage: Eukaryota; Metazoa; Chordata; Mammalia; Perissodactyla; Equidae. The record is from RNAcentral.